Molecule: long non-coding RNA, 480 nt
Organism: Homo sapiens (human)
Lineage: Eukaryota; Metazoa; Chordata; Mammalia; Primates; Hominidae
Product: long intergenic non-protein coding RNA 3026
Source: Ensembl
AAGGUCAACCAGGUGGAGGCCUUCGGGGUUCGGCAAGAGCAGUUCUGUGAGCUGGCGGAGCCUGGCGUCUGCCUGCGUGACGUGGAGGAACCGCAGGCGGCGACCGCGGACAGAAUGUACAGGAUUUUUCAUGGGCCGAUCUGCUGAAUUCAGCCUAGGAGCUGAGACCAACAUCUGAGUCUCUUCAGCACACAAGUUUGAAAGAAGUCCUAGCAACUUCAAGCUCAGAACUACGGGUGGCAGCAGCUCCCUCUUGACGUCGAAGCCUCCCAUUCCAGAGAGAGUCAAGGCCUGGAUCAAACAAAGCCCACAAGCACCGAUGACUGAGCUGCUGACUACCCCCAGCAUCUCCAACUCAACCUCCUCUUUCUGCCUCUACCCAAAUUUUAAAACUUUCAAACAUGGGUUUAAAAAUGGUAAUGAGUAAAGUUGCAUCCAAGUGUAUCAAAUAAAACUAAAUAUCCAUAAAUGCUGUAAUAA